RNAcentral lists this transfer RNA (73 nucleotides) under Actinomycetota bacterium. RNAcentral describes it as "tRNA-Ile". It matches the Rfam family "tRNA". From Rfam's summary of the family: Transfer RNA (tRNA) molecules are approximately 80 nucleotides in length. Their secondary structure includes four short double-helical elements and three loops (D, anti-codon, and T loops). RNAcentral also lists the same sequence under 1 other name. The record is from RNAcentral. Lineage: Bacteria; Bacillati; Actinomycetota.
GGGCCGGUAGCUCAGGGGUUAGAGCAGCGGACUCAUAAUCCGUCGCGCGGAGGUUCGAAUCCUCCCCGGCCCA